RNAcentral lists this ribosomal RNA (226 nucleotides) under uncultured bacterium. RNAcentral's name for it is "partial 16S ribosomal RNA". It matches the Rfam family "Bacterial small subunit ribosomal RNA", at positions 524 to 748 of the family's 1533-position model. The record is from RNAcentral.
UACGUAGGGUGCAAGCGUUAAUCGGAAUUACUGGGCGUAAAGCGUGCGCAGGCGGUUAUGUAAGACAGAUGUGAAAUGCCCGGGCUUAACCUGGGAACUGCAUUUGUGACUGCAUGGCUAGAGUGUGUCAGAGGGGGGUAGAAUUCCACGUGUAGCAGUGAAAUGCGUAGAUAUGUGGAGGAAUACCGAUGGCGAAGGCCAGCCCCCUGGGAUAACACUGACGCUC